AUCUAAAUAGCUUAUUUUAGAGCGUGACACUGAAGAUGUUAAGGAGACUUUAUUAGUCUUUGGAUA
This 66-nucleotide transfer RNA is filed under the name Hemicharilaus monomorphus. RNAcentral's name for it is "tRNA-Phe". The record is from RNAcentral. Lineage: Eukaryota; Metazoa; Arthropoda; Insecta; Orthoptera; Charilaidae.